GAUGAAGAACGCAGCGAAAUGCGAUAAGUAGUGUGAAUUGCAGAAUUCAGUGAAUCAUCGAAUCUUUGAACGCACAUUGCGCCCGUCAGUAUUCUGGCGGGCAUGCCUGUUCGAGCGUCAUUACGCCCCUCAAGUCCCCUGUGGACUUGGUGUUGGGGAUCGGCGAGGCUGGUUUUCCAGCACAGCCGUCCCUUAAAUUAAUUGGCGGUCUCGCCGUGGCCCUCCUCUGCGCAGUAGUAAAACACUCGCAACAGGAGCCCGGCGCGGUCCACUGCCGUAAAACCCCCCAACUUUUUAUAGUUGACCUCGAAUCAGGUAGGACUACCCGCUGAACUUAAGCAUAUCAAAAGCGGAGGA
Molecule: unclassified non-coding RNA, 357 nt
Filed under: soil metagenome
Description: partial contains 5.8S ribosomal RNA, internal transcribed spacer 2, and large subunit ribosomal RNA
Rfam family: 5.8S ribosomal RNA (bases 1-120)
Source: RNAcentral